RNAcentral lists this ribosomal RNA (549 nucleotides) under uncultured Glomus. RNAcentral describes it as "SSU rRNA". It matches the Rfam family "Eukaryotic small subunit ribosomal RNA", at positions 548 to 1098 of the family's 1831-position model. Lineage: Eukaryota; Fungi; Glomeromycota; Glomeromycetes; Glomerales; Glomeraceae. The record is from RNAcentral.
UUGGAGGGCAAGUCUGGUGCCAGCAGCCGCGGUAAUUCCAGCUCCAAUAGCGUAUAUUAAAGUUGUUGCAGUUAAAAAGCUCGUAGUUGAAUUUCGGGAUCAAAUAAUCGGUCGUGCCUCCGGUACGUACUGGUUUUAUUGGUUCCUCCCUUCUGACGAACCAUGAUGUCAUUAAUUUGAUGUGGUGGAGAAUCAGGACUGUUACCUUGAAAAAAUUAGAGUGUUUAAAGCAGGCUAACGCUUGAAUACAUUAGCAUGGAAUAAUGAAAUAGGACGUUCGACCCUAUUUUGUUGGUUUCUAGGAUUGACGUAAUGAUUAAUAGGGAUAGUUGGGGGCAUUAGUAUUCAAUUGUCAGAGGUGAAAUUCUUGGAUUUAUUGAAGACUAACUACCGCGAAAGCAUUUGCCAAGGAUGUUUUCAUUAAUCAAGAACGAAAGUUAGGGGAUCGAAGACGAUCAGAUACCGUCGUAGUCUUAACCAUAAACUAUGCCGACUAGGGAUCGGAUGAUGUUAAUUUUUUAAUGACUCAUUCGGCGCCUUACGGGAAAC